This 107-nucleotide ribosomal RNA is filed under the name Butyriboletus brunneus. RNAcentral's name for it is "partial 28S ribosomal RNA". It matches the Rfam family "Eukaryotic large subunit ribosomal RNA", at positions 1 to 108 of the family's 3401-position model. Lineage: Eukaryota; Fungi; Basidiomycota; Agaricomycetes; Boletales; Boletaceae. RNAcentral also lists the same sequence under 1 other name. The record is from RNAcentral.
GACCUCAAAUCAGGUAGGACUACCCGCUGAACUUAAGCAUAUCAAUAAGCGGAGGAAAAGAAACUAACAAGGAUUCCCCUAGUAACUGCGAGUGAAGCGGGAAGAGC